This 259-nucleotide ribosomal RNA is filed under the name uncultured bacterium. Its description in RNAcentral is "partial small subunit ribosomal RNA". It matches the Rfam family "Bacterial small subunit ribosomal RNA", at positions 26 to 287 of the family's 1533-position model. The record is from RNAcentral.
AGAUUGAACGCUGGCGGCAUGCCUUACACAUGCAAGUCGAACGGCAGCACGGGAGCAAUCCUGGUGGCGAGUGGCGAACGGGUGAGUAAUACAUCGGAACGUGCCCAGUAGUGGGGGAUAACCCGGCGAAAGCCGGACUAAUACCGCAUACGACCUACGGGUGAAAGCAGGGGAUCGCAAGACCUUGCGCUAUUGGAGCGGCCGAUGUCAGAUUAGCUUGUUGGCGGGGUAAAAGCCCACCAAGGCGACGAUCUGUAGC